Molecule: ribosomal RNA, 302 nt
Filed under: uncultured bacterium
Lineage: Bacteria
Description: partial 16S ribosomal RNA
Rfam family: Bacterial small subunit ribosomal RNA
Source: RNAcentral
GCAGCCGCCACGGGAAUACAGAGGGUGCAAGCGUUAAUCGGAAUUACUGGGCGUAAAGCGCGCGUAGGUGGUUUGUUAAGUUGGAUGUGAAAGCCCCGGGCUCAACCUGGGAACUGCAUCCAAAACUGGCAAGCUAGAGUACGGUAGAGGGUGGUGGAAUUUCCUGUGUAGCGGUGAAAUGCGUAGAUAUAGGAAGGAACACCAGUGGCGAAGGCGACCACCUGGACUGAUACUGACACUGAGGUGCGAAAGCGUGGGGAGCAAACAGGAUUAGAUACCCGUGUAGUCCCUGUCUCUUAUAC